Molecule: ribosomal RNA, 465 nt
Filed under: uncultured bacterium
Lineage: Bacteria
Description: partial 16S ribosomal RNA
Rfam family: Bacterial small subunit ribosomal RNA
Source: RNAcentral
GACGAACGCUGGCGGCGUGCUUAACACAUGCAAGUCGAACGGAAAGGCCCUGCUUGCGGGGUACUCGAGUUGCGAACGGGUGAGUAACACGUGGGUGGUCUGCCCUCCACUUCGGGAUAAGCCUGGGCAACUGGGUCUAAUACCGGAUAGGAGCCAUUUUUAGUGUGAUGGUUGGAAAGUUUUUUCGGUUUAUGAUGAGCUCGCGGGCUAUCAGCUUGUUGGUGGGGUAAUGGCCUACCAAGGCGGCGACGGGUAGCCGGCCUGGGAGGGUGGACGGCCACCUUGGGACUGAGAGACGGCCCAGACACCGACGGGAGGCAGAAGUGGGGAAUAUUGAACAAGGGGCGCAAGCCUGAUGCAGAGACGCCGCGGGGCGGAUGACGGUCUUCGGGUUGAAAACCCCAUUCGCUAGGGACGAAGCUUUUUGUGACGGUACCUAGAGAAGAAGCACCGGCUAACUACGUG